ACGGAAGGCAGCAGUGAGGAAUAUUGGUCAAUGGGCGAGAGCUUGAACCAGCCAAGUCGCGUGCGGGACGAAGGCCCUACGGGUCGUAAACCGCUUUUAUACGGGAAUAAAGUGCGCCACGCGUGGCGUUUUGCAGGUACCGUAGGAAUAAGGAUCGGCUAACUCCGUGCCAGCAGCCGCGGUAAUACGGAGGAUCCGAGCGUUAUCCGGAUUUAUUGGGUUUAAAGGGUGCGUAGGCGGCCCCUUAAGUCGGCGGUGAAAUUUCCGGGCUCAACCCGGUCACUGCCGUCGAAACUGGGGGGCUUGAGUGCGUUUGGGGUGGCUGGAAUGUGCGGUGUAGCGGUGAAAUGCAUAGAUAUCGCACAGAACGCCGAUCGCGGAGGCAGGUCACCAAGCCGCAACUGACGCUGAGGCACGAAAGCGCGGGGAUCGAACAGGAUUAGAUACCCUGGUA
This 454-nucleotide ribosomal RNA is filed under the name uncultured bacterium. RNAcentral's name for it is "partial 16S ribosomal RNA". It matches the Rfam family "Bacterial small subunit ribosomal RNA", at positions 341 to 792 of the family's 1533-position model. The record is from RNAcentral.